GCGAACGGGUGAGUAAUAUAUCGGAACGUACCCUAGGGUGGGGGAUAACGUAGCGAAAGUCACGCUAAUACCUGCAUACGCUCUACUGGAGGAAAGCAGGGGACCGCAAGGCCUUGCGCUCAAUGGAGCGGCCGAUAUCGGAUUAGCUUGUUGGUGGGGUAAAAGCCUACCAAGGCGACGAUCCGUAGCUGGUCUGAGAGGACGACCAGCCACACUGGGACUGAGACACGGCCCAGACUCAUAACGGGAGGCAGCAGUGGGGAAUUUUGGACAAUGGGGGCAACCCUGAUCCAGCCAUGCCGCGUGUGUGAAGAAGGCCUUCGGGUUGUAAAGCACUUUUGUUCGGAACGAAACGGUUGAUGCGAAUAACAUCAGCUAAUGACGGUACCGGAAGAAUAAGCACCGGCUAACUACGUGCCAGCAGCCGCGGUAAUACGUAGGGUGCAAGCGUUAAUCGGAAUUACUGGGCGUAAAGCGUGCGCAGGCGGUUUCGCAAGUCAGAUGUGAAAUCCCUGGGCUCCACCUGGGAACUGCAUUUGAAACUGCAUGGCUAGAGUAUCGAAGAGGGGAAGUGGAAAUUUCCGGGUGUAGCGGUGAAAAUU
RNAcentral lists this ribosomal RNA (602 nucleotides) under uncultured bacterium. RNAcentral describes it as "bacterial SSU rRNA". It matches the Rfam family "Bacterial small subunit ribosomal RNA", at positions 98 to 687 of the family's 1533-position model. The record is from RNAcentral.